CACUUUCGUUAUAGUUAGUGCAUUCACUAAGCUUAGGCACACGGGACAUUUAGGGUUAAUGUUAGGGUUCAAAUUAGGGUUAGGAUUAGGGACUUGUUUUUAUUUAGUGAUAUUUCACAUUAGGGGAAUAUCUAUAAAUUGUGAAUUUUCACACUUUAUUUUAACCCUUACCUCAAGGGUUAGGGUAGGAAUAGAGUGUGAGAGAUGUUAAAAUAACUCACCUAACCCUAAUUUGAACCCUCACUUAACCCUAAAUGUCCCGUGUGCCUAAGCUUAGUGAAUGCACUAAUUAUAAUGAAAGUGUAAAACUAGCUUUACUUACCUUCCAGGACCUUGCUGUGGAGGAGUAGCAGGAGUGCUCGCACGCAUGUGCAGCACAGGAUCCAGCUGAUUCCCCUCACCGGAAGUGACGAGGGUAGGGGAUUUUCACAGGGUAGAUUUUUAUAGAACAUCGGCCUUGUGAGAGGAUAGCCAGGACAGAGGUUACUAAUUCAUCGAACACUUUUACUUUUGGGUAAAUUAGCUUGGCAACAAAAAUCGAACUUUGCUAAAGCCAAAUUCCCCACUUUAAAGUAGUGCAUUCAGUAACAUGACCUACCCAUUGUACAGUGCUAUGGAAUUUUGCUGGCGCUAUAUAAAUAAUAAAAUAAACAAUCAUUAAUAACCGUUGCAGUGUAUAUACAGGUAGGUAUAUUACUUAAGAAAUAAUGUCAUGAGUAAACACUGCUUCUCUAAUCUCUAGAUGAACAAAGUUUUGAAUAUGUCUGCUGCAGGUGCUUUUCCAUGAGACGUUACAAUGGGAGUUCAGCUUUGCCUAGAGAAUGUGAUCUCUAACAUCAUUUGGCACUGCUGACAUUCAGUGUACAUUCUUCUUGACAAAUUAGAACUCCCUGCUGGCCAUCUGUUGAUAGAUAUACAAAGGUUUAUUUGUAACCAUUUCUCAAUUAGGCACAAUUUGACCUAUUUUAAAGAAAAUAGAGAAAAUGUCCAAUGUUCAUUCUUUAUCAUCACCACCAGCCCAAUUUUACAUCCUAAUCAGUAGCCUUGUUCUUGGCUAGAAAUAUUCUUGUAGGUAAAGGUAAUUGUUAUGUGUGUAUUUGCAGAACUGGUGGGUUUACUUGGAGUCUUUGUGUUUAGUAUAUCCACCUCAAAUUCCAAAAUAGGAAAUGUAGGAUUAUUUUUUUUUUGCCCCUUCAGAGUGCAUAAAAACAGGAGGCUUUGAUAGUUCUUUGAAUGUCUCAGUCUCUUAAUUAUAGAAAUACACACAUUCCAAAUCAAUAAAACCUUCUAGUAAACAUUGACAUUAAGGAAGAUAAAUGAAACAACUUGAUGAGAUGGCUAAUAGUUUAAAAAUAGUACCGGUAAUUACAUUCUUGUAGAGCAGAGAUGUUCCAAAUUGAGUCCGGUACAUUAUCUGUAUUCAGUAAGCAUGUAUUAGGAUUAAAUUCUGCUGUAUUUUAUCCUUAUUUAAUAGGUUGAACGUAAAAAAGUUGGUUAACAAGGGUAAUUAGCUUUUUUUUUACUUUUGUAGUAAGAAUAUGAUCCACUUUACAUUUGUCAUGUUACAAUGAUAAAUAACUUGUGGAUAAGAUGUUAUGUUAUUUUUGGUGCACAUUAAUCCAUGUAUAUUUUAAAUAAUGGAAACCUUGCAUUUAAAAAUGCUUUAAUGUCCAGAAUUAUUUAAAUAAAUUGCUCAGCUAUAGUUAAUGGUUUCAAAGCAUGCAAAAACUCCUCCCCACGACAAUAGAUUUUUUUAUUCUUUGGAUCUGUUUUUUUUUUUUUUUUUAGAAGGAAUAUAUUUAUAGUUUCAGCCCAGCAGCAUCUCUGACUGUCACAAACAAUGGCCUUGUGAUAUGGGAGCAUAAUUUUUCAACCUGCUCUCCUUACUUGAGGACAAAACAGGCAACACGUUAAUAGCCAGACAAAUUAGGCAGCUGCUCUUUCAAGUUAGAUUUAAGAUUAUGAAUUUAUAGAAGAAGAAAAAAAAUCAUUCUUGUACAAUAAACUUUUUUUUUCUUUUCGUACUGUAUUUUUAUUUUCUUGCUUUUAGGUAACAAAAAAGUAAAAUUGGAGGUAAUUAAGCUUAUUUUUUAAUGGUGCUACUCAGCCUGAUACCAAUGAUCAUAAUGUGACUUUAAUACAGAUUACAGGUCUGAGUGAUGUUUCUACUUGUCAUAUACCUCAGCACUAGUUUGGCAGUAGAACAUUCAGUAAUCGAGUGGAAGAGUAUUGCAUAACACCAGUAUUCCCCAACCACCUAGGAAACAAGAAAUAGCUAAACAAAGAAAUUCAAAUGUUUCUUAAUACUUGAUAUCUUAGCAAGUAUAACUUGAACUUCAAUCUUUUCUUCUAAAAAUUCAGGGAUAUUUCCGCUUGCAUUCUUAUUAUGCCAAUGUAUCAUGUGUUUCUGUGAGGUUGUUUAAGGCUAAUACCGUUUUUAUUUUGAUAUCUUUCUCUUUGGGGAUAAUGCUGUUUCGUCCCUGUUUUAAGUUUGCUUUUACAUGUUUUCACAGUUGUAAAUUAAAACAUGUUGUAAAUGUGCUGUUUUUUUUUUUCUUCUUUUCUUGUAAAUAUGUACAGCUUAGGAUAUUUGUUUCAAUUUCCCCACAAUUAUGAAUGCACUGAGCUUAAAUUAAAGGGACAAUUUUAAGGCAGGGGUUUGGCAAGUGACAGUCUUACAUGAUUUAGGUACCAUACCAUGUCACUGGUUUAUACCAGUGUUAUUUGCCAUUGCCUUGGAUUCUUCAAAUGCAUGCCUAAUUUAGCACUCAUUGAAAUGGCUGUAAUGGUGAAGGUAAAUGUAGUGUGAAUUCUGAAGAUAGAACCUCAAUAUGAAUUAUCAUAUUGGGAGGCUAUUUAUUUCAUGUUAGUGAUGAGCUAGCCUUAGGACCCCAGGUAUUUGUCAACUGCAUUACCAACAUGCUCCACAGGUCUAAAAGCAAUCUCUGCUAAUCUUUGAACCUCUUCCCCCCCCCCACCCCCUUUGUAGUUUACACACAAACAUCAGACUCAGCUGUUCUAGACUAUGGAGAUCUUGUGUCUGUUGUGUUUGUUUUAUCAUGAGAUUGAAAUAAGUAGUGAGACCUUCAUAUCCAUGUACAUGUACACUGUUGAUGGAUGAUAAGACUAGAGCUGAUGAGAUUAUACUGAAAUGUACUCUACUUGCACAGUUUACCUGUGUGUUUUAUCUCUGUAAAGGUUUGACAUUCUGUUGGAAACUGUUACAAUAGUUACAUGUAUGAUUGGGCUUCUGUCUUAAACUAGUUGAUUAUAAACAUAAUUUUAAAAGUCCUGCUGUGCAAUAAUCAGAAUGCUUGGAAUUGUCCUUACAAAAUCUCACUGCAAUUAAUUGUAUUAUGUUGUCCUCUUUAUAUAUAAUUUUUUUUUUAAUUAUUAUUAUUUUUUAUACACAAGUCACGUAUAUUCAGAGACACAUUUAUUUUUAAAUGAAUGUGGUGCUUGCACACAUGGGAAAAACCUUUUAAAUAUGUAUUGUGCUUGUUUACAGAAGUUUUGUUUUAAACAUAAAUAGGAGAAUUUCUGUUUAUCUUUUCUAGAUCUGAAACUCUUAAGGUAUUUGCAAAAACUGAUACGUGAUUUAUAUUUGUACCAAAUUUUAGAAGCUGUGGACUUCUGGGUGCACAUUUAUCAUUUAGCAGGAACUUGAUUGUAUUGAUUGGCAAUGGUAUUCAGGUGCUUGUUCUGUGAGGAUAGUUAGACUUAAUAGAAAUGACAUCAUCAUUUGUCAUUUCUGUUUUAUUUUAGACACAACACACACCGUCAUUUGCCAAACUGCUUGUUAAAAGUGUGUGUGUGUAAUAAAUUUUAUAUAUAUAUAUAUAUAUAUAUAUAUAUAUAUAUAUAUUAUCAUAAUAUAUAAUUUAUUACACAGCAUGUUAUGUAAAUAUAGGCUGUAAUUUUGGUGUACAGAUCUACAUGUAAAAGCAGACAUGAUAUAGCUUGUAUAGGAAUUUGCCAGGUUGAUUAUAGCCAUACUUGAAAACACUUUGAGUGGUGUCAACUAUACUUGAACGAAUCUUUUCAUCUUGAUGCAUGCACCACACUAUAUAUGUGUGUGUGUGUAUGUGGGAUUCACUUCUAAGCUAAUGGUUGACUUGUACAGAAAAUCAUGCAGUUUGACACUAAAAGUAAUGAAUUUUGCGUGCAUUUUUUUUUUUCUUUUUACAUUUUUUUUUUUUUUUCACUCUUAAAUGGCAGCAAGAUGUGGAACGCACUGCAAAGCAAAUGCGUUGGGUACACUUCUGGCAUUCAAGACCACCAUGUUUUGUUUUUCAUCAAAUGUUGGUAUAUGUAUAAAACCUGAUGAUGGUUAUAAAUACUGUAAGUAUUGUAAUGUAAUGAUGCAGGCUAUUUGAAUACUGUUUAUUAUAUCAUUCCCGAUAAUACUGAGAUGUGGGUGUUUUUAAUAAAAAAAAAAAAUUAUAUUUAUUUAAUGCAUUUUAAGGCUGAGUUGUGUAUAAUUUCUUAAAUGAGGUGUUUUCUUGUCAAUAAAGCAUAUGCUGUAAAAUGGUUUCAUCAGAUGUUUCGCACAAUGGCUUUUAUUAGGUUUCACCAUGCAUUUCCCAGACCAUUUUCUAGUAACUUUGUUCAAAUAAAGUUCCUUUUGGGAAAAAAAAAAAUUUUCACCUAACUACACCAAACAUAUACUUUUCAAAGGUAGACGAUAUUGUUGGUGUUAUUCAUCAGACACUCAAUGCAAAAGUGAGAAUUGUUUUUAAAGCGGCACUGUCACCGCCUUGGGAUUUUGCAGAAUUUGCCAGAUGAAGGUGAGGGUGCAUACAUGAGGGUACAACUACAGACCGCGAGAUUCUCCAUAGAUAGGCUCAAUUCCCUGCAGUCGUCAUUAAUGACAAGUGGGGGGAUUGACACUUCUAGACGCCGUUAGCUCCGCUUAGUGUCUAGAAGUAUAAGACAGAGAAAAUAUCCAGAGAAAAAGUAAUCCCCACUUU
Non-coding RNA from Pelobates cultripes (western spadefoot toad), 4970 nucleotides. Lineage: Eukaryota; Metazoa; Chordata; Amphibia; Anura; Pelobatidae. The record is from the annotation of a GenBank genome assembly.